CUAAUACGUGGAGCCUUGACGGUACCAGCGGAAUAAGCACCGGCUAACUCUGUGCCAGCAGCCGCGGUAAUACAGAGGGUGCUAGCGUUAAUCGGAUUUACUGGGCGUAAAGCGUGUGUAGGCGGUUCGUUAAGUCGGAUGUGAAAGCCCUGGGCUCAACCUAGGAAUUGCAUUCGAUACUGGCGGGCUAGAGUACGGUAGAGGGCGGCGGAAUUCCGGGUGUAGCGGUGAAAUGCGUAGAUAUCCGGAGGAACACCGAUGGCGAAGGCAACCGCCUGGGCUGUACUGACGCUGAGACACGAAAGCGUGGGGAGCAAACAGGAUUAGAUACCCUGGUAGUCCACGCCGUAAACGAUGAGAACUUGACGUCGGUUUGCUCUGCGAAUCGGUGUCGUAGCUAACGCGCUAAGUUCUCCGCCUGGGGGGUACGGCCGCAAGGUUGAAACUCAA
Molecule: ribosomal RNA, 450 nt
Filed under: Panacagrimonas perspica
Lineage: Bacteria; Pseudomonadati; Pseudomonadota; Gammaproteobacteria; Nevskiales; Nevskiaceae
Description: bacterial SSU rRNA
Rfam family: Bacterial small subunit ribosomal RNA
Source: RNAcentral